AGAGUUUGAUCCUGGCUCAGGCUGAACGCUGUGCGGCGUGCCUAAUACAUGCAAGUCGAACGAAGCACUUCGGUGCUUAGUGGCGAACGGGUGAGUAACACGUAGGUAACCUGCCCAUAAGACUGGGAUAACUAUUGGAAACGAUAGCUAAUACCGGAUAGGAUAUCGGAAGGCAUCUUCGGAUAUUUAAAGUUGGGAUACACUUAUGGAUGGACCUGCGGAGCAUUAGUUAGUUGGUGAGGUAACGGCCCACCAAGACGAUGAUGCAUAGCCGACCUGAGAGGGUAAACGGCCACACUGGGACUGAGACACGGCCCAGACUCCUACGGGAGGCAGCAGUAGGGAAUUUUCGGCAAUGGGGGAAACCCUGACCGAGCAACGCCGCGUGAGUGAAGACGGUCUUCGGAUUGUAAAGCUCUGUUGUAAGGGAAGAACGAUAUAGAUAGUAUCUGUAAGUGACGGUACCUUACCAGAAAGUCACGACUAACUACGUGCCAGCAGCCGCGGUAAUACGUAGGUGACAAGCGUUAUCCGGAAUUAUUGGGCGUAAAGGGUGCGCAGGCGGCGAUUUAAGUCUAAGGUAAAAGGUUGGAGCUCAACUCCAUUAGGCCUUAGAAACUGGGUUGCUAGAGUGCAGGAGAGGGUAGUGGAAUUCCAUGUGUAGCGGUAAAAUGCGUAGAUAUAUGAAGGAACACCGGUGGCGAAGGCGGCUACAUGGCCUGUAACUGACGGUGAGGCACGAAAGCGUGGGGAGCAAAUAGGAUUAGAUACCCUAGUAGUCCACGCCGUAAACGAUGAGCACUAACUGUUGGAGAAAUUCAGUGCUGCAGUUAACGCAAUAAGUGCUCCGCCUGGGGAGUAUGCACGCAAGUGUGAAACUCAAAGGAAUUGACGGGGACCCGCACAAGCGGUGGAGUAUGUGGUCUAAUUCGACGCGACGCGAAGAACCUUACCAGGCCUUGACAUACCUUGCAAGACUCUAGAGAUAGAGGGAUAGAUAUGGAGGAUACAGGUGGUGCAUGGUUGUCGUCAGCUCGUGUCGUGAGAUGUUGGCCUAAGUCCCGCAACGAGCGCAACCCCUGUCUUUAGUUACCAUCAUCAAGUUGGGGACUCUAAAGAGACUGCUCGUUGACAAACGCGGAGGAAGGUGGGGAUGACGUCAAAUCAUCAUGCCCCUUAUGGCAUGGGAUACACACGUACUACAAUGGCAAGUACAGAGGGAAGCGAAAUGGUGACAUGGAGCUAAACUCCAAAAGCUAGUCCCAGUUCGGAUUCUAGUCAGCAACUCGAAUACAUGGAGUUGGAAUCGAUAGUAAUCGCGGAUCAGCAUGCCGCGGAGAAUACGUUCAUCGGGUCCUGUACACACCGCCCGUC
Molecule: ribosomal RNA, 1374 nt
Filed under: uncultured bacterium
Lineage: Bacteria
Description: bacterial SSU rRNA
Rfam family: Bacterial small subunit ribosomal RNA
Source: RNAcentral